Molecule: non-coding RNA, 29 nt
Filed under: Mus musculus (house mouse)
Lineage: Eukaryota; Metazoa; Chordata; Mammalia; Rodentia; Muridae
Source: RNAcentral
UGGGACAGUUAGGAUCCUCUGCUAAGUGG